RNAcentral lists this ribosomal RNA (776 nucleotides) under uncultured Neocallimastigales. Its description in RNAcentral is "partial large subunit ribosomal RNA". It matches the Rfam family "Eukaryotic large subunit ribosomal RNA", at positions 24 to 635 of the family's 3401-position model. The record is from RNAcentral. Lineage: Eukaryota; Fungi; Neocallimastigomycota; Neocallimastigomycetes; Neocallimastigales.
UACGACUACAUAUCAGGCAUAUCAAUAAGCGGAGGAAAAGAAACUAACAAGGAUUCCCUUAGUAACGGCGAGUGAAGCGGGAAGAGCUCAAAUUUGAAAUCUUCAAGGUUCUACCUUGACGAAUUGUAGUUUAAAGAAGUGUUUUCUGUUAGAGGAGUAGCAAAAGUUCCUUGGAAUGGGACAUCAUAGAGGGUGAGAAUCCCGUAUUUGGUUAUUCUUUCUAGCUUUGUGAUACACUCUCAAAGAGUCGGAUUGUUUGGGAAUGCUAGUCCAAAAUGGGUGGUAAAUUUCAUCUAAAGCUAAAUAUUGGCGAGAGACCGAUAGCGAACAAGUACCGUGAGGGAAAGAUGAAAAGAACUUUGAAAAGAGAGUUAAACAGUACGUGAAAUUGUCAAAAGGGAAGCGUUUGACACCAGUGUUGUUUAGUUGAAAAUCAAUUCAAUAGUUUUUGAUUCUAAGUAGUAUUGACUUCAUCAGCUUGCUGCUUUCUUCUCAGAAAUUAUUGAAUGCACUUUUCAGUUAACAAGUCAACAUCAAUUUCUUUUGUUGUAAAAGGGUAUAGGAAGGUGGCUUUCUCUUCGGCUCAAAGUGUUUAUAGCCUUUAUACUCUACAAUCGGAGAGAUUGAGGUCUGCAGCGUAGAUCCUUCGGGGUUAGAUACACUUGUGCUAAGCUAUAGCCUUUUAUAGACAACUUGUUGACUAUGCUUCAGUCAUGUAGCUUACUCGCUGAUGCUAUUUUACCUACGCUUAGGAUGUUGAUCUACAGAGCGAGAGU